This 281-nucleotide long non-coding RNA is filed under the name Populus euphratica (Euphrates poplar). The record is from RNAcentral. Lineage: Eukaryota; Viridiplantae; Streptophyta; Magnoliopsida; Malpighiales; Salicaceae.
ACAGGUAACCGAGUCCAGUCCAAUUCGCAAUGAACCUUGGUACUUGACCGGUCAAACUGUUCCCAGCUACGCUGAACCACCCCAAUCCCCUAAAGUUGGCAUAAUUUCCCGGCAGUCGUCCAAUCAAAUUGUUGGAGCUCAACCCUAAAUAACCAAGAGAUCCCAAUCUUCCAAGUUCUGGUGGAAGCUGACCAAUGAGUUCAUUGAAGUCCAGGUACAUCGAAUGGAGAUGAGAGAGGUUGCCCAAUUCUUUAGGGAUUUGACCUGAUAACAUAUUAUAC